Molecule: RNA transcript, 1467 nt
Organism: Populus euphratica (Euphrates poplar)
Lineage: Eukaryota; Viridiplantae; Streptophyta; Magnoliopsida; Malpighiales; Salicaceae
Exons: 2
Source: RefSeq, a predicted model, not a curated record
GGGAAAAAAAGUCUCUAGGCCGAAGCGUGCUUUGCCUUGUGGCUUGUGGUUCCUCUCUCUUUCCCUCUACAGAGCUUCUAUCUUGUUUUUCUCUCUUCCUCUAUCUCUCGUGAUCUUGAAUGGCAUGUAAAGAAGCAGAAGAAAACUCUAGCAGGUGAGAGAUGAAAAGGGAUUGAUCAGUAAACAACAAACUAAGGGUUUUGCUUGCUUUUAGUCUCAUCAAUGGCUUCUUAUCAAUUCUUGAACCAUCGCAAUCAGGUACGCGAUUCUUCUCGCUUUAUCAAUACUACUAGUCGCCGUGGGUUCUCCAAGUCUCAAAUGUGCCUCCAAAAGAUUCUACACGUUAUUGCUUCAUGCCCACCUCAAGAAAUCUCAAAAGAAACAUCUUUGAAUCGUGAAAUUCUUGAAUUUAAGGAGAAUAGAGGCGUUGACAUUGAUUUGAACAUAGGUUUGAGUCCUGCUUGGUUAGAAGCUGAUAACCAAGAAAAUCAAUCAUCAGAGGAGUCGUCCUUAUUGAGUGCUUGUAGUUUUGUUGAAAAGGGUAUAAAGAAUGAUUCUUCUAUGGAGGCUUUUGCGGUUGACAGGAGCUCGUCAGUAGGAGAAUGUUGUGUCAAGUUUGUUGGGGACCAGGUCGGUUAUGAUUCUCCUACAGUUCAAGCAACUGGAGAAGAAUCUCAAGGGGUCGAUGAGACAACUUUAGAAAUUUCAAAGACCACAAAUCUCAAAAACCAAUCCAAUGAAAUCAGCAGCAAAAUCAAAGCAGUCAAUGAUGAUCAAGAGACGACUAAGAUCAAAGAAGACACCAAGAAAGAAUUAGUCAAACAGGAGCCAUGCCACGAAGAAAAGAACGAAUCCAAUAAAGAUUCUUUGGCUCUUCUUAUUGAGGCAGCAGAGAUGUUUUCGGGUAAUUUAGAAGACAAAGAAUCUGAUUCAGAGAAACUAGAAGAAACAACAAGCGGGUCAAAAAAGAGUUGCAAGUGUAGUUGGGUGGUGGAUUUGUACGAGGAUAACACAUCAUCGCCCGUUGUAAGAUCCAAGAGAGGGAGAAGUCAUGUGCUGCCUUAUAGGUAUAGAGACAGUUCGGUUAUUUUAGAGCCGUGGAAACGACUGCCACGACCAACAAAGGCAGAAACGACGGCUGCCACGGUGGUUUCAAAGAAACGUAAGUAAAGGUAAGAAAAAAGGAAAGAAUAUUACUAUAACAACAUGUGAAAGUAAAUGCGAGGUUUCUGCGAAAUGGCAGGAGAAGAGAAAAACGCAUGUAAGAUUAUGAGAUGGAGGGAGCAGUGCUGCUCAAAUGUGGGACAGUGAUGGGUUUCAAUUUGUUUUCAGCUCUUUAACAUCUGGUUUAGUUUACAAGUAGUGGUAAGGUUGCUAUGAUUUAUAUGUUUUGAUAUCGGCACGAUGUUGAUGGUUGUUGUGAUUAUAGAUUUAUGUUUUAUUUAAAUUCAAUAAUUGAGCUGAUCA